Long non-coding RNA from Anolis carolinensis (green anole), 5427 nucleotides. RefSeq lists it as uncharacterized. NCBI's taxonomy places the organism in Eukaryota, Metazoa, Chordata, Lepidosauria, Squamata, Anolidae. The record is from RefSeq and is a predicted model, not a curated record. The transcript has 3 exons.
ACAUUUCCAGCAGGUAUAGUAAAGGGAAGUCUCCUUCUUUUCCUUCAAUAGUGCAGUGACAGCUAGAUUGGGCAAAGGAGAGCACGCGUGUAUUGUCAGCUUACCACUGUAAUUGAUAUUUGCUAGACUCUCAGCAUGAAUAUCAAAAUACAGUUUUGGCCUUUAAGACCUUUCCCAGUUUGGUGAGUGUCAAUUUUCAGAACGAGUGCUGGUUCUCCAUUUUCCCCAGGAGGAAAAUGCUGGGGGAAAAGGAAGGAAAAAGGAAGAGAGGACGACCAAGGGCGAGAUGGAUGGACGGUAUCCUUGAAGUGACUGGCUCGACCUUGAAGGAACUGGGGACGGUGACAGCCGACAGGGAGCUCUGGCGUGGAGUGGUCCAUGAGGUCACGAAGAGUCGAAAACGACUGAAUGAGUGAGACGACGACGACAUGCUGGUUCUACACAUUGUGAUUUUUGAGGUCCAUCUAUACAGUAUGUUGUUUCUUUCCUUGAAGUGACAGGAAACAUAGCUAAGCAUGAGGGUAACCCAGGGCAGGGGCAAGCUGAAAACAUCUGCAAUUCAAUCAGAGCUACCCCGUCUAUUCCUGCUCAUAUCUUGCUUUCUGUUAAAAAGGGAAGCCACUAAUUCAGUUCAGGCAUUUGAAGUACUACUGGAUACUCCUCCAUUGUGGGAGGCAUCCUUGCCAGCUUCAAGACCCAGCCUUGGUUUCUUUGACACCUAGAAAUUGAUUCUGACUAGCUUCUGACUGACGUUCUAGGGUUGCAUCUACACUGUAGGAUUAAUGUAGUUUACCACUUUAACUCUCAUGGUUUUUAGCCUUCUCUGCCAAAAAGUGCUGGUGGGUCAUCAAACUAUAAUCCCAUGAGUCCAUUGCAUUGAAUAAUGACAGCUAACAUGGGGUCAAACUGUAUUAAUUCUAUAGUAUAGAACUAGACAGGGUUUCUUGACCUUGAACUGUUAAUGACCAACACCAGCUGCAGCUUAUCGCUCCACACAGUAAUUGAAGACAGUAUAGUACUCUGGGUCAACUCAGAUAAUUCUACAUCAGAGGAAAAAUACCAAACCUUUCACAAGCAGCUCUUCCUAUUUCUGGUCUAAAAAUGCAGGGAAAAAAAGGAAACAUCCAAUAUUUUUGCUGGCAUGGCAGGUUAUUCAAAACCCACUGCUUGAGAUAGUAGCCUCACUCUGUGUAAUAGUAGACCCUGAUUGCUAUACCUCAACCCACAUUACAGCAGUAUAUAAUGUGAAAAACGGUGUCCUCCAUCCCAGUGUUUUGUGAACUCAGUAAAAGUCCUUCAGAAAUAGUGAAUCCAGCAUUCCCUGUUUAUAUAUGUGUGGGGGAGUUCAAAAGAUUAGUGUAAUGGGUCUGGUCCAACAGAUAGGAGAUGCUGAUUUCAAUCUACAUGAAGCUGAACCCACUGGAAGAAGUUCAAGUACAACACUGAACACAGUUAUGUAAAUAAAAGGGUUCAGACCAGACUCCUAUAAAACAGAUCCCAGUGUUUCUCUAGUAAGAAAGAGUCUUUCACUGAAAAUGUCACUGUUUUUCCUAGCCAGAUUCAUCUCAUCAGAUACUGAGUAGCCUAGCCUUCAAUUUGCAAGGCGAACAGAAAAGCCACACAGAAAGAUGUUUUAAGAGAGAGAGAGAGAGAGAAAGAGAAAGAGAGGGUGAGUGUUCUUGUAAUUGCUGCAUCAUUUUUGCAUGUCCUUUUAGAGGUCAACCUUAGCUUUAAUUUGGUAGAAUCAGGAAACUUUCUUUAAUAAGUCUGAUUAUUGUAGACUAGAUGCAGUGAAUCUUCAUCUUUGAUGGCACCCACUGAUUUACAUUAGCUGGGCCAGCUGAUUAAAUAACCCACACAGCCAUCUUUUCUGACUUCAGUGCCAAGGCCAUUGAAGGGUAAAUAAGAGAUAGCCACCUUCCCUUCAUUAGGGGGAAGUGAAAUAGCCACUUCAGGCAGUUCAUUUUAAUCUAAACCAGAUGGCAAGUCCCAAUGAGAACUGAUCCAGUGAAUUAAUGGAGUUUGUGAAACCUGUGAGUUAAAUUUCAGGCCUGCAGUCUCUUGGCAAGAACAGACAUCUGUGUAGAAUAUCACCUGGCUUUUCCUUCAUUCCUCCUAAUUAUCCAACAUAUUCACUUAUCCAACUUUCUGCUGGGGAGCAGACCUCUUUAUCUGCAACACCUGUGUCGGAAGUAUCUCUUUACAAUGAAGACUUAAGUGACAAUAGAAUCGCCCCUUCUUUUCUGUGUGUAUGAGGUUUCCUUUGCGAUCUGGCUAUAAUUGUUUGGAAGAAACUGGAUUUCUAUCUACAGUCAUCCCCAUACAUUUGUGGCUUUGACUUUUGCAGAUUUGAUUAUUCACAGACUUAUACUCUAAGAAUAGCUGGAAGUUAGCACUAGAAUAUGUUAACUAUUUCCACUACUUAGGCAGUCACCUCUCCACAAAAGCUGACAUCAACGCCAAAAUACAACACCAUCUGAGCUGCACGAGAGCAGCAUUUUUCAAAUGAAACAGAGUGUUUGAGAACAUUCAUAGGGAUACCAAGGUGCUUGUUUAUAAAGCUAUUGUCCUUCCAACUCUGCUGCAUGCCUGCAAAACAUGGACCUUAAGAAAUGUAGCACAAACACUGAGAACUGGAAAUCCUUGGCACUCAAGCGUUCUAACUGGAGGUCAGUUGUUACCAAUAGUGCUAUGGAUUUUGGAGAGAGACAAAUUGAGGGUGAAAAGGAGAAAUGUCCCAAGAAGGAAAUACGUCAAGCCAACCCUUGUCGGGAUCGCCUUCAAUCUGGAAAUGUAUGUCCUCGCUGCAAAAAAGCAUGCGGAUCUAUAAUUGGUCUCUACAGUCACUUACAGACCCACCCCCCAAGACUCUACUUCUGGAAGACAACCAUGCUCAGCCACAAGAGAUCGUCUAUGACUCUACGAAUCUCUAGGUCCUCCAAAGUGAAUGUAUGUUCAGUUUCCAAUGAAAAUUGACCAUAAAGUUAUGCUGGAAGAUCUUAAAAACUCUGGAGUGGUGUUUUCCCAGGUUAAAAAAUAAAAAUUUCUUUAUUUGUGAUUUUUCACUUAUGUGGGAGUCCUGUCUCCCUACCCACAGAGAAUGUGGAGGGCUAAUUGUACAAUGCAUCUAUAUUGUUGUGACUGACUAUUUGUUUUGUAUAUAUAGGUAAAGGUAAAGGUUUUCCCCUGACAUUUAAGUCCAGCCAUGUCCAACUCUGGGGGCUGGUGCUCAUCUCCAUUUCUAAGUCAAAGAGCCGGUGUUGUCCAUAGACACCUCCAAGGUCACGUGGCCGGCAUGACUGCAUGGAGCACCGUUACCUUCCCACCAGAGCAGUACCUAUUGAUCUACUCACAUUUGCAUGUUUUUGAAGUGCUAGGUUGGCAGAAGCUAGGGCUAACGGGGCGCUCACUCUGCUCCCCGGAUUCGAACCUGCAAUCUUUCGGUCCACAAGUUCAGCAGCUCAGUGCUUUAACACACUGCACCAGAAAAAUGGGUGGUGAUAGGUUUCCAUGAGAAAUGCACAAUUUUUAUCUAGGCUCACAUUUUAUGGGGUUUCUCACAUGUAAAGUAUGCGUUAUUGUAAUCAAUGUGACUUAUAUUGGUCAGAAACUUACACUGAAUGAAAAAUUCAUUUCUCUAUAGAAAUAGUAUCUGCGUAAAUAUGCCCCAGGAAACAGAUACUGGGCAACAAGGAAGCUGAGGUUGACAGUGCUGUCCAGUUGCAAGUGUUGAAACAGUUAAUUGCCAGUCCAUUUGCCUUCUAUAUCUGGAAUCUGAACCUGUGUGUCACCAUCUCGUUCUUUACCUUAAGCAGCAAAAUGAAUGCCUUGGGCCAGCCCUACCUUUGGGGGUACACCCCCAGCAGACCCAUAUGUCUUCAUGCACUCUUCCAUGGUUGGAAAGGGAACAAAGUACAUUCUUUUCAGCUUUCAGAAGGAAAUAAGAGAGCAAUACCCUGAAAGAAAACAGACAUCACACUCCCACCAUCUAAUACCAUCGAGAAUAAACUUUCCAAACAGAUGUACCAUUUUCCCCCUGGAACAGGAGCACAUGGCAGGAAAAAGGUAUGUCAGAAAUUGUUCUUAUAAGGAAAAACUGAAGUAACAACUUCAGUUAUGGAAAGACUAUUGUAUUCUUCUAAUGCAGUGGGGGUUAUUGCUUCAGUGCCAAGAUUCCAUCAAGGUUAAUAAUAAAGGCAAAGCAGAUCAGUUUAACAGAUGCAAGCCCUGUCUUUUAGAAGUGGAGUCAAAGAAAAGAAGCACUCUACAAUGAAUGUCUGUUCCGGAAAACAAACAGAUGCACAGAAAACUUAAUACAAAGUAUUUAUAUUGCUAACUAAAUAAAUGUUAAAUAAAAUAUUGGUUUAUCAGUACAUUGGGGGACAAAAAAAUCUUCCUUGUACCAUUGAUAGAACAUUCCUAUUUAGUAUGCUAUACAUAUGCAAAAAUUCUGGAGGGAAUUUCCCUCAAUGUAAAUAUUAGUUUCAGGAUCCUGUGGACCAUGAAAGGCUGUUUUCCUUUUGUGCUAGCUCUGAUUCCUACAAUUAGCAUCCUGACUCCCAAAGACACCCAGUAGGUUUCUGUGAUUGAUUGGGAUCCAAACCUAAGUCCUAGGGUUUGUGUACAUCAGGGCUUUCCAAACUGUGUAUCGCGACACAUUAGUACGUCAGCUACAGUAUGCAUGUAAUGAGCCUGUGUGAAAUAAACCAUAAAUCAUAUAUUUUUUAAAAAAUACAAAUGAAAGGUUUUCAUGAGACAUGUUGUUUCCCCAUACCAUUACAGGCAUUCCCUGAGUUACAAAUAUCCAACUUACAAACCACUCAUAGUUAAGAACAGGGAUGAGAUGACAGGAAGUGAGUUAAAUAUACCCCUUGGAAGGGAAAUUCACCCCUGGAAGAGUUAUCAUGGGGAAAAGGUGUCUCCACUGAAGUUUUAUCAACAGUACUUAUUUCCACAACAAGCCAAAUAUUUCAAAAUCCAAUUCUCACAGGGACAGAAAGUGAGGUGAAAUCUCUGAACAGCAAUACAAACACCACAGGGGUGUUAACUCUUCCCCAAUGCUAGCCAAAGUGUGUAUGUGUGUGUGUGAGAGAGAGAGGGGGGGGGGGGGAGAAGGAGUUAUGCUUAAAAAUGUACCUGUUCUGAGUUACAUACAAAUUCAACAUAAGAACAAACCUACAGAAUCUAUCUUGUUUGUUACUUGGGAAUUGUCUGUAUUACAAUUUAUGUAUGUAUCUGUAUAUUUUAUAAGGGAUUGGUCAAACCUCCAGUUUGCUAGUAAAACAGAAUUCCUGUAUCAUGAAAUGAUGCACGUCUAAAAUGUGUGUAUUUAUUUAUUUAUUAUUUAUUGUUGGUAUUUGUCUCCCACUUUCUCUCUCUCAAGGAAACACAAAGCAACUGGAAAGCUCUGGUCUACACUGACAAAAA